RNAcentral lists this ribosomal RNA (422 nucleotides) under uncultured bacterium. RNAcentral's name for it is "bacterial SSU rRNA". It matches the Rfam family "Bacterial small subunit ribosomal RNA", at positions 881 to 1304 of the family's 1533-position model. The record is from RNAcentral.
UACGGCCGCAAGGUUAAAACUCAAAUGAAUUGACGGGGCCUGCACAAGCGGUGGAGCAUGUGGUUUAAUUUGAAGCAACGCGCAGAACCUUACCAGCGUUUGACAUGUCCGGACGAUUUCCAGAGAUGGAUCUCUUCCCUUCGGGGACUGGAACACAGGUGCUGCAUGGCUGUCGUCAGCUCGUGUCGUGAGAUGUUGGGUUAAGUCCCGCAACGAGCGCAACCCUCGCCUUUAGUUACCAUCAUUUAGUUGGGUACUCUAAAGGAACCGCCGGUGAUAAGCCGGAGGAAGGUGGGGAUGACGUCAAGUCCUCAUGGCCCUUACGCGCUGGGCUACACACGUGCUACAAUGGCGACUACAGUGGGCUGCAAACUCGCGAGGGUGAGCUAAUCUCCAAAAGUCGUCUCAGUUCGGAUUGUACU